UUAGGUUUUCUGGUCAGAAUGCAGUCUGGUACAUUUUCUAGAUUGUUAGAGAGGAGUUGAGCUGGGCUCUUUGCUAUCUUGGCUCUGCCCCGUGUAUAUAAAAAGCAAGGUAUGGUUGGGGGAGAAUUCUGCAUGCUUGGCCUCCUUUGCACCUCUUUGAGAGGUCACUGACCCAGCCUUUUGCCCUGAGCUCUCUUAGCUUAUUUGCCAUUUCAACCUUCAUAAUCCUGGCCACCCCAGGUCAGGCCCUCAUCACUCUCUCCUAGGUCACUGCAGCAGACUCCUGAGUGGACUCCCUGCCUCCAGUCUAUUCUUCACUCUGUUUCCAAAGGAACUUUCAUGAAGCACAGGGAAGACCAGGCCGAACAGCUUGUCCUGUCCAGGGUUCAUGCCCUAAGAAGGUGACUGAAGACGCUGGCUUCCGAAUACUCUAGCCUUUGACUGAAGGAGGCCACCAAGCUGGAUGACCUGGAGCUAUGGCAAAGAGCUAGUGGGAGUGGAGUUGGGAAAGGCCUGAACCACAAAGAUAUUUUGACUUUCCUGUAGGGCCCUGUGAGCCAAUGGGGAGCCAACCUGGAGGACUUCUGAAGGGACACCACUGCCCACAUCAAGGAGCAGGAAAGCAGGGUGCUCUAGCAGAUGUCUGAGUUGCAGAGGGCGACAACACAGUCUCAUAUCAGAGGGUAGAACUUCACAUCUUGAGCAACUACGGUCACCCUGAGUAUACCUGCAUUUACUCAUCUGGGUCCAUGGGAAGUAUGCCAAUUAGCCCCUCCCCCCGAGUCUCUAUAUUCCUUCCCUCUUCAUCCACCUCCCCUCUACCAGCAAGCAGCUCCCCGACCUUCUCCUCCCUUCCCUAUGGUUAAUCUCUUUUGGACACUAUGGCCUCUGGAAAAGAGACAGAAGGUGGGAGCCAACCUCCAUGGAUCAAUCUUGCCCCACUGGACCCUCACUGAUAUGGAGGAGAGACCACCAGCUGAGCAACUUGUGUUUCAUUCCCUAUCCACCUUUCUUUUUUGGAUUUUUGGUGAGGCAGUCAGGGUUAAGUGACUGGCCCAGGGUUACACA
This is a long non-coding RNA of Phascolarctos cinereus (koala), 1068 nucleotides long. RefSeq lists it as uncharacterized. NCBI's taxonomy places the organism in Eukaryota, Metazoa, Chordata, Mammalia, Diprotodontia, Phascolarctidae. The record is from RefSeq and is a predicted model, not a curated record.